UACAGAGGUCCCAAGCGUUGUUCGGAUUCAUUGGGCGUAAAGGGUGCGUAGGCGGCGCGGUAAGUCGGGUGUGAAAUCUCGGAGCUUAACUCCGAAACUGCAUUCGAUACUGCCGUGCUUGAGGACUGGAGAGGAGACUGGAAUUUACGGUGUAGCGGUGAAAUGCGUAGAUAUCGUAAGGAAGACCAGUGGCGAAGGCGGGUCUCUGGACAGUUCCUGACGCUGAGGCACGAAGGCGUAGGGGAGCAAACGGGG
RNAcentral lists this ribosomal RNA (255 nucleotides) under uncultured bacterium. RNAcentral describes it as "partial 16S ribosomal RNA". It matches the Rfam family "Bacterial small subunit ribosomal RNA", at positions 524 to 777 of the family's 1533-position model. The record is from RNAcentral.